RNAcentral lists this long non-coding RNA (2039 nucleotides) under Homo sapiens (human). RNAcentral describes it as "non-protein coding lnc-ZNF667-2:1". The record is from RNAcentral. Lineage: Eukaryota; Metazoa; Chordata; Mammalia; Primates; Hominidae.
AAAUAGGGCGCUGGCUUUGCCAGGAGCGGCUCCUCUCCAAGCCUGGCGGUCACUGCCCUGUGUCCCCUUUUGGGCCUCUCCUGGUCCUCCUGGUUGGAUUAGGAGGCCUCUCAGCCCGGAGUCUGGGUCGCCGAAGUACAGGCCCCUUCACUGAAGCGACCCACGGCGCAGGGGUUUCUGGAAGCCAUCGCCAGGCUCCGAGUGUUCAGAUGCAGCUGCCAGGCUCAGGACGCAGAGAACUGGCUUCCAGCUCGCAGGAGCGCCUGUCCGUGGUGGGUAGGGUCGCAGGCGUGGGGUGUGCAGGAGCAGUGGGACAGCACUGAAACGCAGUCGGAAGAGAUACCACGGUGUGCAGGCACAGGGAAAAGACCACGUGAGGACACAGAGAGAAGACGGCCGUCUGCAAGCCAAGGAGAGAGGCCUCAGGUGAAACCAAACCUGCAGGCACCUUGAUCUUGGACUUCCAGCCUCCAGAAGCUUGAGAAAAGAAAUUUCUGUUGUUUAAGACACCCAUUCUGUGGUAUUUGUUCUGGCAGCCCUAACAAACUAAUAUAGGGAUCUAAAGAUUCCUUGUCUUCAUUUUGAGUAAGAGACUAUAAACUCAGAACUGUGGAGAUCUAGUUAGGUAUUGUACAGCUAGCCUCAUUCUGUCUUAAACUCCAGGUAAAAGAGAAAAAUAUGGAGACAGCCCCUGACUUUGGAGAACUUGCAGUUUUGUGGAGGUGAAAGGAGGCAGCCACAAGAAAAACCCCUGACAUCAAUUCAAAACUAUAAAUAACAAAGACUAACUUGUUCUAUGCACAACAGGUACUACAGCACUGUCCAACAUGGGGACAUGUGAGUGGCCUGAAGCAGCACAAGAACUGGGCAAUAAACUUGAGAUGAACCUCAAAGCAUCAAUAUUAUUCAUGACUAAACUGGGUUCUAAGAAUUUCUAUUUUUACUCUCAGUGUUCAGUAGAGGUCAUUAAAAAAAAAUCUAGCAAUUUUUUUUUCUAAAAUGAAUAUGUAAUAAGAAUGAAAAACAAAAAGCACUAUAAUGUUUUUAAUUAAUGAAAUGCCUUUACGAACCAAGGUGCCAUCUUGGAGAAGCUAGGCAUUAUGAGGAGCUAUCAGGAGCACAUUUGCUAACAGCUUGGCAUGAGCAGGAUUUUCUUGACCAACUGGCAAGAUGGGGCUGCUCAGCUCCUGCUGGCAGAUUUUUAUGGAGCAUAGUUUUACAAAUUCAGCCUACAACUCUGAUACGUUCCAAUGUAUUUUAAACAUCUAUUCAGUUGCAACUCUAAUCCCAGGAACCUGUGGCUAACAGAAGGCAGAUUUAACUGACUAGCAGCUGUGGGAUUUUCAAAGUCUAAACUGAAAUGAACAUGCGAAACAGUUGGACUACCCCAAAAGCUGAAUUACAAUUCCAGCACUCACCAGCUCUGAAACCUCACUUGGUUACCUAACGCCUCUGUGCCUCAGUUCCCCAGCUAUAAAAUGGAAAAGGCAACAAUACCAACCUUGUAGAUUAUGUUUUGGAUUAAAUGAGGCAACACAUACACAGCACUUAGAACGUGCAAGGCACAAUGGAAGCAUGCAGUGAACAUGACUUGUAAUGAUGCUGACUGUCAUAACUCUCAUCCAUAGGGAUGCUGCCUCUGCUUGUCACCCUUGACCUAUAUAUUUUCAGGCAGUCCUCACCCAGUCCCCAUUUGUGUGUUCUAGAUAGAAAAGGCCCCAUACUAUGAAAUGACUACUGUCCUUCUGCAUGAAGCCUGGUGAACCUGAUAAUGUAGCCUUCAAGUUCCCUUACUGAGCCUUGAGCUCCCUUCAAAGUAUCCAAGCCAACCCUGUCUUGGGAAACUCACCUAGAUAAUGCCCUGAACCCCAAUAAAGGCUCCAGCCCACAGGUCCCUCCCUCUCUCUUGGUCCCCACCCUUUGGCUGGGCAUGUGUGUCCUCAAUGUCUCCAAGCCCUUCCAGUAAGCCCUGCAAGGUGUGCUGGCCACUGUUCUCUGGAAUCUGUGAGUAAUAAACAAUCUUUUUGCCAUUCUGCUCU